Lucilia cuprina (Australian sheep blowfly) is the source of this 984-nucleotide long non-coding RNA. RefSeq lists it as uncharacterized. The record is from RefSeq and is a predicted model, not a curated record. The transcript is spliced from 8 exons. Lineage: Eukaryota; Metazoa; Arthropoda; Insecta; Diptera; Calliphoridae.
UACCCUAAUGCCCUAUAACUUUUUUGGGAUUUUGGGUAUUUUAUUAUUCCCAUACAAAAAAUUUGCACUAUGGCAACCCUUAUUCAUUCGAGAACAAAAGUACGACUCUGUACCGCCGUUAAAAACUGGCCAGGCGGCGACGUACUGUGAACAGCUGCUUGAAUGAAUGGAAGAGGAGGAGGCAAAUAAGAAAAAUACUACGCGUGGGUGAAGAAGAAGCACCCAAACAAAAAAAAAUAUCAAUGGAUACAACGAGGUUCUGGUGGAUUUCUAUGGCCGUAUAAGGGGAUUUUAAAUAAGGGAUCAUGUUGGCUGCCUUGGGCCUAUAUAAAAACCUUGAUGGCCGAUUCUGAAAGAUGGCGGAUCGAAGCAGAAUGAAACGGUUUUGUUCCAGAUGGGCCAGUGGACUAGGGAUUAAGGUGAUUCCGGGAAUUUAAGCUAAUAAAAUUCAAUUGGACCUGGGAUUUGGCCUUGGUUGCUGCUUCCGUUCAGGAAAGGUUAUAGAUUCAGAUUGGACCUGGACCGGAAGCUUGAAUGCGGUAUAUGAACCCAAAUAUUAUUCUAAAACGUUGAAUCAUCAAAUUUCGGUUCCUGAAGAAAAUCAACAAUACCAGCCAACUGUAAGAUCGAGAGGAAAAUUUCUCCAAUCAACGAAAAUUUUAAUCGAAAAUUAUUUAAAAAGGACACUCGUCCGGUCCGUCUUGUCAUCCGGGUGCAAACUCACAGAAGGUCGGAAAACCAAAAAUUAUACCAGAGCACCCCAGGCAUGGUGGUGCUGGAAAACAGCUUCUCCCUCGUUGGAUGGAGUCGGUGUUGAAGUGGCUUUGCAGGUUUGUGUUUUGCUUUGAUUUAAUUUAAAAUUUAGUUUUAAGUCUAGUUUUAAGUCUAGUUUUAAGUUUAGCUUUAAGUUUAGCUUUAUGUUUAAUUAAUUAAUUCUUUUUUUUAAUAAAAUUGAUUUAAUUUAUAUAAAAAAAUAAAAUCAAA